AGGGGGGUUGGAUGCUGGUCCCGAGAGGGGCAAGUGCGCGCCCCCYGUUUCAAGUCCCUACACACCUGUGCACCUAGCGAGCGUCCUCCCUGUUUGGAGCCGUUUGAGGGACCCCCCGGUCCCCUUGAACCGAGGCGCUCCCUCCUACAUUUGUAAUAACCACCCUUACGAUGCAUGUCUGGGCUCUACGGAGCAAAAAAAAAGUAAUACAACUUUCAACAACGGAUCUCUUGGCUUUCGCAUCGAUGAAGAACGCAGCGAAAGUGCGAAACGUAAUGUGAAUUGCAGAAUUCAGUGAAUCAUCGAAUCUUUGAACGCAUCUUGCGCCCCUUGGUAUUCCGAGGAGCAUGCCUGUUUGAGUGUCGUGAGGUCUCUCAAAUCCCCGUUUCUCUGGGGUUUGGAUUUGGACGUUUGCGGGGGGGGCUCCCACCGCUCGUCUUCAAAUGCAUCAGCUGGCCUUUAGGAGUCGGUGCCAAUGACGGUGUGAUAAUGAACGCUUCGUUGAAUGUGGCGCCGUUUGGGGCCGACUCUGAACUUGGGGUGGCUUACAACCGUCUUCGGACAAACACAUUUCAUGUCAUCUGACCUCAAAUCAGG
This 597-nucleotide ribosomal RNA is filed under the name Ramaria stuntzii. Its description in RNAcentral is "eukaryotic LSU rRNA". The stretch from base 211 to 365 matches the Rfam family "5.8S ribosomal RNA". The record is from RNAcentral. Lineage: Eukaryota; Fungi; Basidiomycota; Agaricomycetes; Gomphales; Gomphaceae.